UUGUCAAGUGCCAACGCAUCUUCCACGUCAAGGAAACUCACUCCCAAACAUGGCUUUUACAAUUAAUGAAAUCGUGUUUCAGAUUGAAAAUGAAGAGAAAAAGACAUUUACGCUGUAGACAUCUCCUUCCCGAAAUCGGAGCAACUUCUAAAUCUGUGAAGAGCCCUAUGUUCACCUUAAGAACCCUAACGUCUUGAAAUUGAUUUCAAGAGAAUCUCACACGGAGUCUUCAACAACCCAUUCAAUUAUUUGAAGUUGACGUCUGUAUUCCUAAUCAGCAUAUUUUAAUGGUAGGAAAGAACAAGGGGAUUUGUUGUGGUUGCGGGAAGUCGGGCCACUACCUAUUGGAUUGUCGCAUAAAGAGACCGUGCUUGGUAUGUGGCAAGGGAAUUGAGAAAUCUAUGGAUGUUGAAAACUUAGGUUGGCUAUUCUUUUGUUGUACGAAUGACUGCAGUUAUUUCAAGUGGCUCGACGAAUACAAACUUUGCCAAUUUCAGGUAGAGUCAAGUGCUAUGUCGAAUGAAUUGGAGUUAUCAAGCUUGCUGAAGAAUGUUGCUAAAAUAGCUAGAGAAAAGGAUGUUGAUAUUUCUGUGAAAUUUACUUUUCUCAAGGGAAAAGGAGAAACACAUAACGUGUAACUAAAUGGAGGAGCUCCGUGAAAAUGAAUGGCUUAUGUGUCAAUUUGUUUGUAGGCAUCAAAACUAGGAAUUAUGUGAAUCCCAGUAACUUAAUGUUGUGUAUGUAAUUUGAAGUGUCUAGUUUCAAUCUCCUAUGAAACGUCGAUGUUGUUUGAUA
Long non-coding RNA from Olea europaea var. sylvestris, 795 nucleotides. RefSeq lists it as uncharacterized. The record is from RefSeq and is a predicted model, not a curated record. Lineage: Eukaryota; Viridiplantae; Streptophyta; Magnoliopsida; Lamiales; Oleaceae. The transcript is spliced from 2 exons.